Molecule: unclassified non-coding RNA, 253 nt
Filed under: uncultured Actinomycetes bacterium
Lineage: Bacteria; Bacillati; Actinomycetota; Actinomycetes
Description: uncultured actinobacterium contains 16S-23S intergenic spacer region
Rfam family: Bacterial small subunit ribosomal RNA
Source: RNAcentral
GACGUAGGGCGCAAGCGUUGUCCGGAUUUAUUGGACGUAAAGAGCUCGUAGGCGGCUUGUUGCGUCAAUCGUGAAAUUCCACAGCUUAACUGGGGAAUUGCGGUUGAUACGGGCGAGCUAGAGUUCGGUAGGGGAGACUGGAAUUCCUGGUGUAGCGGUGAAAUGCGCAGAUAUCAGGAGGAACACCGGUGGCGAAGGCGGGUCUCUGGGCCGAUACUGACGCUGAGGAGCGAAAGCGUGGAGAGCGAACAGG